Molecule: ribosomal RNA, 484 nt
Filed under: uncultured bacterium
Lineage: Bacteria
Description: partial 16S ribosomal RNA
Rfam family: Bacterial small subunit ribosomal RNA
Source: RNAcentral
AUUGAACGCUGGCGGCAUGCUUUACACAUGCAAGUCGAACGGUAGCGCGGGCUUCGGCCUGGCGUCGAGUGGCGACGGGGUGAGUAAUGCUAAGGAACGUGCCAAGUAGUGGGGGAUAGGUCGGCGAACGGGGGAUUAAUACCGAUAACGCACUGCGGGUGAAAGCGGGGGGCCGAAAGCCUCAGGGCUAUUGGCACGGCCUAUGCCGGAUUAGCUAGUUGGUGGGGUAAAGGCUUACCAAGGCGACGAUCCGUAGCUGGUCUGAGAGGACGACCAGCCACACUGGAACUGAGACACGGCCCAGACUCCUACGGGAGGCAGCAGUGGGGAAUUUUGGACAAUGGGGGCAACCCUGAUCCAGCCAUGCCGCGUGCGUGAAGAAGGCCUUCGGGUUGUAAAGCACUUUUAGUCGGGAGGAAGGGCACUAAGCUAAUACCCUGGGGUGAUGACGUUACCAGAAGAAUAAGCACCGGCUAACUCCGUG